RNAcentral lists this transfer RNA (86 nucleotides) under Chloroflexota bacterium. Its description in RNAcentral is "Chloroflexi bacterium (freshwater metagenome) tRNA-Ser". It matches the Rfam family "tRNA". From Rfam's summary of the family: Transfer RNA (tRNA) molecules are approximately 80 nucleotides in length. Their secondary structure includes four short double-helical elements and three loops (D, anti-codon, and T loops). Lineage: Bacteria; Bacillati; Chloroflexota. The record is from RNAcentral.
GGAGAGGUGACCGAGCGGUUGAUGGUAGCUGUCUUGAAAACAGCCAGGCGCGAGCCUCGUGGGUUCGAAUCCCACCCUCUCCGCCA